This 252-nucleotide ribosomal RNA is filed under the name uncultured bacterium. RNAcentral describes it as "partial 16S ribosomal RNA". It matches the Rfam family "Bacterial small subunit ribosomal RNA", at positions 524 to 776 of the family's 1533-position model. The record is from RNAcentral.
UACGUAGGGUCCGAGCGUUGUCCGGAAUCAUUGGGCGUAAAGGGUACGUAGGCGGAUAAGCUAGUUAGAAGUGAAAUCCUAUAGCUCAACUAUAGUAAGCUUUUAAAACUGCUGAUCUUGAGGUAUGGAAGGGAAAGUGGAAUUCCUAGUGUAGCGGUGAAAUGCGCAGAUAUUAGGAGGAAUACCGGUGGCGAAGGCGACUUUCUGGACAUUUUCUGACGCUGAGGUACGAAAGCGUGGGGAGCAAACAGG